UCGGAUAUGGCGUAACGGAGAACAUUACCGCCUUUCAUGUUCCGGUACGUAUGUGCUUGUUAUACGCGGUAGCUCAGGGUUCGAUUCCCUAUAUCCGAA
RNAcentral lists this transfer RNA (99 nucleotides) under Armillaria gallica. It matches the Rfam family "tRNA". Rfam says of the family: Transfer RNA (tRNA) molecules are approximately 80 nucleotides in length. Lineage: Eukaryota; Fungi; Basidiomycota; Agaricomycetes; Agaricales; Physalacriaceae. The record is from Rfam by way of RNAcentral.